CGGCGGACGGGUGAGUAACACGUGGAUAACCUACCUAUAAGACUGGGAUAACUUCGGGAAACCGGAGCUAAUACCGGAUAAUAUAUUGAACCGCAUGGUUCAAUAGUGAAAGACGGUUUUGCUGUCACUUAUAGAUGGAUCCGNGCCGCAUUAGCUAGUUGGUAAGGUAACGGCUUACCAAGGCAACGAUGCGUAGCCGACCUGAGAGGGUGAUCGGCCACACUGGAACUGAGACACGGUCCAGACUCCUACGGGAGGCAGCAGCC
RNAcentral lists this ribosomal RNA (266 nucleotides) under uncultured Staphylococcus sp. Its description in RNAcentral is "partial 16S ribosomal RNA". It matches the Rfam family "Bacterial small subunit ribosomal RNA", at positions 96 to 355 of the family's 1533-position model. The record is from RNAcentral. Lineage: Bacteria; Bacillati; Bacillota; Bacilli; Caryophanales; Staphylococcaceae.